Molecule: long non-coding RNA, 622 nt
Organism: Psammomys obesus (fat sand rat)
Lineage: Eukaryota; Metazoa; Chordata; Mammalia; Rodentia; Muridae
Exons: 3
Source: RefSeq, a predicted model, not a curated record
UUGUUCUUGUCUUUUUUUUUUUUUUUUUUUUUUUUUUCCUGAAUCAUGUGGACAUCUCUGAGAAUGAGAGGACGCAGUGGCGUUACAGUGGCUGCUUUCUAAGUUUCAAAGUGACUUUCCAGGCAAGCUGUGUACGUCUUGGGGAUCUUCACAGCACAGUGGCUGGAAAGGAGGAGCCCCGUCCAUCAGAGUCUCCCUGGAAGGCUACUUGGCACAAGUUCAAGUGAGCCCACAGUUGCUGUCUUCAGAGUCGAAGAGAGGAGAGGUCACUAGAGGCUCUGCACCUCCAUGGACUGGAAUUCCCACCAGUGGCUUUGCUUGAGAAUAACUGGGAGCUGAAACAGGAAACCCCAUGACACAGUUGAUCGAAAAUGACACAGACACAGAAAAACCAGGACGUGCCCCCAGCAGCUCCUCUACCUGCUGAUCGCAGCUGGAGGCAGGUGCAGGGUUUCCCUCUGGGAAUGGACUGUAACUUCUGGGGGCGCUCUGGUGGACCCCCAUACCCGCUGCUGAUGGGCCUGCAGUAUUUUGGUGAUGGUCAUCUUUGGUUGGUCUCUCAUUUUUCGGGCCCUCUCUCAUGUCUUAAUCCUUCCUUCAUUAAAAGCAAAACUAAAGAAAA